This 434-nucleotide ribosomal RNA is filed under the name uncultured Microbacterium sp. RNAcentral describes it as "bacterial SSU rRNA". It matches the Rfam family "Bacterial small subunit ribosomal RNA", at positions 960 to 1393 of the family's 1533-position model. Lineage: Bacteria; Bacillati; Actinomycetota; Actinomycetes; Micrococcales; Microbacteriaceae. The record is from RNAcentral.
CGCGAAGAACCUUACCAAGGCUUGACAUACACCAGAACGGGCCAGAAAUGGUCAACUCUUUGGACACUGGUGAACAGGUGGUGCAUGGUUGUCGUCAGCUCGUGUCGUGAGAUGUUGGGUUAAGUCCCGCAACGAGCGCAACCCUCGUUCUAUGUUGCCAGCACGUAAUGGUGGGAACUCAUGGGAUACUGCCGGGGUCAACUCGGAGGAAGGUGGGGAUGACGUCAAAUCAUCAUGCCCCUUAUGUCUUGGGCUUCACGCAUGCUACAAUGGCCGGUACAAAGGGCUGCAAUACCGUGAGGUGGAGCGAAUCCCAAAAAGCCGGUCCCAGUUCGGAUUGAGGUCUGCAACUCGACCUCAUGAAGUCGGAGUCGCUAGUAAUCGCAGAUCAGCAACGCUGCGGUGAAUACGUUCCCGGGUCUUGUACACACCGA